This 505-nucleotide ribosomal RNA is filed under the name uncultured bacterium. Its description in RNAcentral is "partial 16S ribosomal RNA". It matches the Rfam family "Bacterial small subunit ribosomal RNA", at positions 28 to 507 of the family's 1533-position model. The record is from RNAcentral.
GACGAACGCUGGCGGCGUGCCUAAUACAUGCAAGUAGAACGCACAGUUUAUACCGUAGCUUGCUACACCAUAGACUGUGAGUUGCGAACGGGUGAGUAACGCGUAGGUAACCUGCCUGGUAGCGGGGGAUAACUAUUGGAAACGAUAGCUAAUACCGCAUAAUAUUAAUUAUUGCAUGAUAAUUGAUUGAAAGAUGCAACUGCAUCACUACCAGAUGGACCUGCGUUGUAUUAGCUAGUAGGUGAGGUAACGGCUCACCUAGGCGACGAUACAUAGCCGACCUGAGAGGGUGAUCGGCCACACUGGGACUGAGACACGGCCCAGACUCCUACGGGAGGCAGCAGUAGGGAAUCUUCGGCAAUAGACGAAAGUCUGACCGAGCAACGCCGCGGGAGUGAAGAAGGUUUUCGGAUCGUAAAGCUCUGUUGUAAGAGAAGAACGGGUGUGAGAGUGGAAAGUUCACACUGUGACGGUAUCUUACCAGAAAGGGACGGCUAACUACGUG